CUACGGGCCGCAGCAGUGGGGAAUAUUGCACAAUGGGCGCAGGCCUGAUGCAGCCAUGCCGCGUGUAUGAAGAAGGCCUUCGGGUUGUAAAGUACUUUCAGCGGGGAGGAAGGGAGUAAAGUUAAUACCUUUGCUCAUUGACGUUACCCGCAGAAGAAGCACCGGCUAACUCCGUGCCAGCAGCCGCGGUAAUACGGAGGGUGCAAGCGUUAAUCGGAAUUACUGGGCGUAAAGCGCACGCAGGCGGUUUGUUAAGUCAGAUGUGAAAUCCCCGGGCUCAACCUGGGAACUGCAUCUGAUACUGGCAAGCUUGAGUCUCGUAGAGGGGGGUAGAAUUCCAGGUGUAGCGGUGAAAUGCGUAGAGAUCUGGAGGAAUACCGGUGGCGAAGGCGGCCCCCUGGACGAAGACUGACGCUCAGGUGCGAAAGCGUGGGGAGCAAACAGGAUUAGAUACCCUAGUAGUC
RNAcentral lists this ribosomal RNA (464 nucleotides) under uncultured bacterium. RNAcentral's name for it is "partial 16S ribosomal RNA". It matches the Rfam family "Bacterial small subunit ribosomal RNA", at positions 339 to 795 of the family's 1533-position model. The record is from RNAcentral.